GGAAAGCUUAAAACCAGCCACCCAGAACCACUCUGCCUGGAGAAAGAAGACAAUAUUUGGCAUGAUUUGCUUCAUCUACUACAGGUGACUCCGUCAGGACACCAGGAACAUGAUUGCAGUCCAGGAUACCAUACUGCAACCUCAAUCCAUCGAAUGAGCUCGGUCAAAAAUCACCUAAGAAAAAUAUGUCGUUCUUCUCUACAAGGGUUGCAUGUGGAAUCUGAGGAGAAUCUGUGCACCAGCGUACGACUCCUUGAUGUUGCUCUGAUCAUAUUGUGUAAAUAUAUUUCUAAUAAAGCAAUCGCCCGAUGGUGUACAUGUUAGAAAUAAUAAGAUGUAAUCAUCAAGUGUGAGAGAUGGCAACAUCAUGAUGGGAUGGUAUGUACUGUUGUGCUCAUCAAUAGAGUUAGAUCACUUUUCUGUCUGAGAGUCGAUUUUUUUGUGCGUUAGAUGGAUUGACAAGUA
Triticum dicoccoides is the source of this 465-nucleotide long non-coding RNA. RefSeq lists it as uncharacterized. NCBI's taxonomy places the organism in Eukaryota, Viridiplantae, Streptophyta, Magnoliopsida, Poales, Poaceae. The record is from RefSeq and is a predicted model, not a curated record. The transcript has 3 exons.